Molecule: ribosomal RNA, 331 nt
Filed under: uncultured eukaryote
Lineage: Eukaryota
Description: partial 18S ribosomal RNA
Rfam family: Eukaryotic small subunit ribosomal RNA
Source: RNAcentral
CCCUUAGAUGUUCUGGGCCGCACGCGCGCUACACUGUUCGACGCAGCGAGUCUUAACCUUGACCGAAAGGUUUGGGUAAUCUUCAGCAAAGUCGAACGUGAUGGGGAUCGAUCAUUGCAAUUAUUGAUCGUGAACGAGGAAUUCCUAGUAAGUGCAAGUCAUCAGCUUGCGCUGAUUACGUCCCUGCCCUUUGUACACGCCGCCCGUCGCUACUACCGAUUGAAUGGUUUAGUGAGAUCUCUGGAUUGACGCUGGCUAGGGGGCGACCCUUGGCCAGACUGUUGAGAAACUGCUCAAACUUGAUCAUUUAGAGGAAGUAAAAGUCGUAACA